ACGCGUACACGCAUUCUGCCUUCACAAAUUUCGCCAAAUUCACCAUCGUCGAUCUUGAGAACCACCGGAGUAUUGGGAGAUUGGGCUGCGCGUGGGUGCCAUGACCGCCGGAGUAUUGGGAGGCUGGGCUGCGCGUGGGCGCCGUGGCUGCCGGAGUAAUGGGAGGCGGGGCUGCGCGCGGCCGCCGUGGCCGUCGGAGCAGUGGGAGGUGGGGCUGCGCGCGGCCGCCGUGGCCGUCGGAGUAGUGGGAGGUGGGGCUGCGCGCGGCCGCCGUGGCUGCCAGAGUAGUGUGAGGCGGGGCUGCGCACGGCUGCCCUGACCGCCGGACUAGUGGGAGACGGGGCUGCACUGCAUGUCUGCAUCUACUUCAGCAAGGUCAAGGACGUCGGCAGCGGCGACGACGAGCGCACUGAUGAUGUGGUUGUUACAGAGGCAGAUGUCCGCUCGGGGCAUUGCAGACAAGCGUUGCCUGCUCAGGAAGCAGCGGGUGGGAUUUUGACAAUGUCCAGGGCAUGGAUGAAGCCAAGGAGGAGCUUGUUGAGUGGGAAAGAUGGCCGGGAGGAGCAAAAAACGCAAUUGGCAUGAACAGCAUGUGACUGCUCUUGACCAUGAUUCAUUCCCUGCCAUUCAAGACCAACAAAUAGAGGGCAAGUUGCUGGACUCACCUAAAAAAAAUCUCAAGCUAUCCAAGGAAUACCCAAGUAAGGAACCUUCAUCAGCUACUCUCCAAGUAAUCUUCAUACCCUUCCCCCGGAGAUUAGUUGCUUACUAUCUAGCUAGAGAGAAAUCAAUUUGUGUGUGAUUACUGAUUGCACUAAACUUUCUUACAGUUUCUUUUCAGUAAUUGGCAGGAAAUCAGUUGCCCACUACCAGCGUGCACGCAUAAGUUGGUUACUGGCAGAACUGGAGUUGCUUAAAAACAGCCAACCUAGAUGUUGCUGCUUUAAAAAAAAAUACCACAGUCGUUGUACAAAGUAAACUAAAUUAAGAAGAGAUGCAUGAGUUGCUUACCCCUUUCCCACCCUUUUUUAUUUGCUUAAAAGUGCCCCAAUAGUUGCCACGCUUUUUUCACAUCUUUUUAGUUCUAGCACGCAUAACCAAACAAGAGUUGUUUGCUCUUAACACCUUUUUUGCUCAAAGCAAAGCCUAGAAGUUGCUGGCCUUUUUGUUUUAUUUUGUUUUUUGACACUUUUUUCUACUCCAAAAGCAACCUAAAAACACAAUAGCCAGUAUUUGCAAAAAAUGAAAUCAAAAAACAGAUGUCGUGCUCAUGUCCUGCCAAGAGUUGCUUGCUGUCAGACAUGAUUUGCUUACAAAAUCCAUUAUAAUUGCUCACUUUUUGGUUUUGCCCUUUUUUUGGUAACAGGUGCCAUACAAAAACAAUACUAGAUUCUCACAGAUCUGGAAAAAAUGAGGGAGAGCACUGGGACGAAGAAGGUGCAAUCAGAUUUGUAUAAACAAGAUUUGCAGGGUCCUUCUAGUUGUGGGGGAGGAAAGGAUACGCAGUUUGCAUGGGGAGAAGAUGGGCGUAGGGUAGGGUGAGGACAGAGAGAGGUUGAUCAAGCACGUGAUUGGGGGGCUGGAGGAAAGCGUGCGAGCUGCGGCUUGAUGCGCCUCUCUAGCGCAGGCUCAAGGGUUGGGGCGUGUGGGGACUGAUUCUUUUCCUUUUCUGUCCCGCCAGCUGUUUAGGGUUUUUCAAUUUCUUUUUUGGGUGUGUGCUCUAGAUUACUAACCAGCCAACAGGUGCUCCCUAGUCACGUCCUUGUUGCUGAUUAUUACGUACUCAAUGUGGACACUUAAUGCUCACAUUAGACAAGAUGGAGAAAAUCAGCCAUUAAUUAA
Triticum dicoccoides is the source of this 1842-nucleotide long non-coding RNA. RefSeq lists it as uncharacterized. Lineage: Eukaryota; Viridiplantae; Streptophyta; Magnoliopsida; Poales; Poaceae. The transcript has 5 exons. The record is from RefSeq and is a predicted model, not a curated record.